CAGGCACAGUCUGAGGGGCUUAUGUAAGUCUGAGGAGAGAGUGCCAGAGACUGAGAUCGUGGAAACGAUGGCAUCUCACUCUCAUUAAGCAGAGGACACUAGUGAGUCCAAGAGUCAUUGACCACUUACGGUGUUACAGCCACUUCUUCUAGCUGCAUAAUUUAAAAUGUAAAAUCUGGGAUCUCUAUAAUCCAGCUCAUUAGCAAGUGUGGCUCUCUGACCGUCAGAUCAACAACCACAUCUUCCUUUUGGGGAGAAAGGAAGAAAUGGGCAGAAGUGGACCUGAUGUAGGAAGAGGGUUUGAAGGCCAGGCCAGACCUAAACAGCUGACACCAAAUUGUAAAGCAGAAAUGAGGCCCUGCACGCACAACGGAUGCCUCAGGCUCCAAGCAUAUCGGAACAAGAGUUCUUCAGGCUUAAGCUGCAAAUAGGAACCAUCCUGUCCAUUUCCACAGUUCUUCACAUAGAAAUCACCCUCCCUUAAGAUGUACAACCUCUUCCACCAAGAGAUUUUUCUGAUAAUGAUCUAGUGCUGAGCCCUCUGGGAGGACACUAUCAUGUGUGUAAAGCUCAACCUCUUCACUAGCACCUGUUUCUUAAGGAAGUGUGUAUGUGUGUGGUGUUCCAGUGUCUCCCCAACCAUGUGGAAGUCUGGCAGAAACCACCUGUUCUAUCGAUGUCUGGCUCCAGAGCAAAGUUUCAUUGCUUUGAAAUAAAGUUAAAACCAGAACUAGUUUCACAAAGAAAUUA
Long non-coding RNA from Suricata suricatta (meerkat), 750 nucleotides. RefSeq lists it as uncharacterized. NCBI's taxonomy places the organism in Eukaryota, Metazoa, Chordata, Mammalia, Carnivora, Herpestidae. The transcript has 5 exons. The record is from RefSeq and is a predicted model, not a curated record.